UCAGCCCAUAUCAGAGCAGAGUUUGAACCCUGGGGCGCGUUCAGCAGGACGCAACAUUUUGGAUCGUUCAGAUUGAAAUAUGUAGUGUAGAACAAACAUGCCUCUUCAACCUAUAGACCAAGGAUUCAUGUCCUCUCUGGUCAGAACAUUUCUAUCUGCAACAUUCAACAACGUUUGGAAAAUUAAUUUUGCCCUGGUCUUGAACCCAGUUUUAAAUAUGCAUUUUUCACUAAUAAUACAGUAUAUUUUCAUGUAAAAUAAACAAAUUAUUUAAUACAUACACAAACUGAUGUGAUACUUUAGACCUUUAGUAGUAAUAAGAUGGAAGAGACACAAGAUUCAAUUGGUUUCCAUAUAUUUGACAGGAAUUCCCCAAAUGGUUAUUCUCACCAAAGUGGAUUUAGCCUGUCCAUUGGUGAGGAAAGACCUGAAAAAGAUAUAUAGGAGCAAGUAUAUAAAGGAGAAGAUGGAGCAGUGUAGUAAUGAACUGGGGGUACCAGUGAACUGCAUUUUGCCUGUGAAGAACUACCAUGAGGAAAUUGACUUGGAUGAUGACAUGGAUGUGCUGCUAUUGAGAUCACUGAAGCAGAUGGUGGACUUUGCAGAGAGCGUCAAGCUAUCACAAGCUGACUGAUGGAUGUACAGUACUCGAUCUACAGCGUGUCACUCUGUAAUACAUCCAUCUAAAGAAGCCCUGUUCACACCUGGUAUUUACACCUGACUUUUGUGAUCCAAUCACCAUGAUCAGAUUACUCUCCAACUAUGGUCCAGUGCGUCCACAAAAGGGUUGGCAUCAUUUCUGAAUUGAACUGAAAAUACAUUUUGAAUUUCAUUCAAAUCUUGUGUUUGAAUUAUAAUUGUCUGUACUGUAAAAUCAAGUGCUUCCCAAUCUGCUUAUCUAUGUCCCUCUACUCUGGGAAUGGUCUGUCGAAGUCUGUUAGUGUUGGUAGGACAUUCAUUAAACAAUAGUUUCAGUCCUCCUUUACCUAUCAUAAGAUUCAAAGUGAACUUGUUACUGUAUGAAAUGGCUAAGCAGCUAUGUCUAUGCUCAUAUUUUAUAAAGUGAGUGUCAUAAUUGUUGAA
Long non-coding RNA from Salvelinus fontinalis (brook trout), 1083 nucleotides. RefSeq lists it as uncharacterized. NCBI's taxonomy places the organism in Eukaryota, Metazoa, Chordata, Actinopteri, Salmoniformes, Salmonidae. The record is from RefSeq and is a predicted model, not a curated record. The transcript is spliced from 2 exons.